UCGAUGGCGCGCCUCGUUUAAAGCCCGUCUUCCAGCUGCAGAGCGUGGCACGGUCCGAAGGAGGGCACUAAGAGAGCUUCUUCCUUCACCUGAGGAUAGACAGAUAUCCCACGUUUUUUAGGGAUCUGCAAUAAUUUAAUGUUAAAACGCCUGGUAAUCACAGGCCAAGUUCAUGCUGUUCUUCAGGUGGUGAAUGAGGAAGGCACGUCGGCCAUCCUUUAAGAAUCUCCUGAGGUGACGGGCUGUGCGUCCUGUUUACCGUGCUUUGCAUACAUGUGAGCAGCAGUGCUUCUGGCUGCUUCAGUCCUGUUUCAUACCUUGGCCAAUUCACUUCUCAGGUGACAGCACAUCUACUGGCUUUACAUAGACUGUGAGCAUUCAAAGCAGUGGCCGGGUACCGCAGACAGCAGGACUGCAGUUGCCUGUGACCCAAGGCUCAGCUGAGUGUAGCACAACACUGUGGGCUUACACUAAACAUACACAGAAAACGUCCUAAUACUGGAAUAAUUCCUUUUGGAGAAAUAACUUGCCUGUGCAGUGAGGAGGAGGAGUUGCAAAUGGACUUGUACCUUUAGAGCUUGUUGAGAAGAGCGGUUUUCUCAGUACUUCAAAGGCUGCCUUCAAGAUUCAGUCAACUAAUGCUGGACUGAAUACAACCCGAGCCAAAUGUCAGCACGACUUUGUAGCUGGACUGCACUUGAAGGUAACUGGUGGGGAUACUGAGAUAUGCUGAGGAGUUGCACAGAAUAUAUAGGGGUGUUGGCGCCCACCAGGUCUUCUGCUGUGUUUGCUUCAUUUACCUCAGUACACAUCCCUGCUCUGUAUUGCUGCACUCCAGCACUUCAGACACCAGUGCUUCUGGAGGAACAGGCACAUAUAGCAGGCAUCUGUUGGGUAUAUCCCAGGGAUACAGUCCAAGCAAGCCUUGCCUUGCCUUAUGGCAUGCUGAGCUUUUCCUGCUAUUAGCCAUAAUUUGGCCUGAUUAAACACUUUCCCAGAUCCCUCAGACUAUUGUUUUCAGAGGGCUUGCAUCAAGCAGCAGGGGUGACAGUCAACCCUACUGCCUGAUGAGGCAGGGAAGUUCUGGCUGCUUGGUGAAUCCUAGUGCUCCACAUUGGGGAGAUCUGUGGACCCCACUGAAAUGGUCCUUGUCCAUACCAUCCUACGUGCACGCAGAGUUACUGCAAGUGAGGGACACCCGAGUGCUGAUAGACAUCAAGGCUGCUUGGAGCCAUA
Molecule: long non-coding RNA, 1236 nt
Organism: Phasianus colchicus (ring-necked pheasant)
Lineage: Eukaryota; Metazoa; Chordata; Aves; Galliformes; Phasianidae
Source: RefSeq, a predicted model, not a curated record